Molecule: ribosomal RNA, 253 nt
Filed under: uncultured bacterium
Lineage: Bacteria
Description: partial 16S ribosomal RNA
Rfam family: Bacterial small subunit ribosomal RNA
Source: RNAcentral
GACAGAGGGUGCAAACGUUGUUCGGAAUUACUGGGCGUAAAGCGUGUGUAGGCGGCCAUGUAAGUCAGGUGUGAAAGCCCUGGGCUCAACCCAGGAAGCGCACUUGAUACUGCGUGGCUUGAGUAUCGGAGAGGGUGGUAGAAUUCUCGGUGUAGAGGUGAAAUUCGUAGAUAUCGAGAGGAAUACCGGCGGCGAAGGCGGCCAACUGGACGAAUACUGACGCUGAGGCGCGAAAGCGUGGGGAGCGAACAGG